This 4502-nucleotide ribosomal RNA is filed under the name Rhombosepion elegans. Its description in RNAcentral is "partial large subunit ribosomal RNA". Lineage: Eukaryota; Metazoa; Mollusca; Cephalopoda; Sepiida; Sepiidae. The record is from RNAcentral.
ACCCUGGACGGGGGAUCACUCGGCUCGUCCGUCGAUGAAGAGCGCGGCCAGCCGCGAGAACUGAUGCGAAUUGCAGGACUCAGUGAACAUCGACACCUCGAACGCACAUUGCGGCCUCGAGAUCUCUUGUCUCGGGGCCACGUCCGGUCGAGAGGCGGAAAUUUGCAUGUCUUCUCACUCGGUCGUCGAGAGACAUCUCACCGUCCCCGCGUUCUCACGCGGUGGAAACCGGGACGUCGCAGGGCAGGCGGGGCCCUUCGUCUCCCGACAUCAGACCGCGGUCGCCCGUUACGACCGCGAGCAGUCGUUGAUUGCAAGACGAUGGCAGCAGGACUUAGUCGUUUNGCUCUCGGAAGUGGUGGUACUUGGGGCGUCUCGAAGUCCACCGCUGACACCGUCUUGCCAAUCCAUAACCACCGCCGCCCUCGGCUCGGACGAGACGACCCGCUGAACUUAAGCAUAUCGCUAAGCGGAGGAAAAGAAACCAACCGGGAUUCCCUUAGUAACGGCGAGUGAACCGGGAGAAGCCCAACGCCGAAUCCCGUCGCAAGUAAACGGCUUCGGGAUAUGUGGCGCAUGGGUCGAAGGCAGCCGCUCGUUUUCGUAUCGCGUAGUUCGGAGUUCCCUCGAUCGGGGCCGCCCGCGGCGGGUGCCAGGCCCAUUCGGUGCGUACGACGAGCGACGGCCUUCGCUCCGAGAGUCGGGUUGCUUGGGAACGCAGCCCAAAUCGGGUGGUAAGCUCCAUCCAAGGCUAAAUACCGGGACGAGUCCGAUAGUCGACAAGUACCGUGAGGGAAAGUUGAAAAGAACUUUGGAGAGAGAGUUCAAGAGAACGUGAAACCGCCCAGGGGUAAACGGGUGGAACCGCUCACCGCGAUCGCGGGGGGACUCAGUCCGGUGCUGCCGAACGGGGUCCAAACUCGAUUUGGUUGUUGCCUUCGGGCAGCGGCGCCAUCAUAGGCCGUCGCGGACGUCGUUCCGGGGGACGGGGUCGGGGUGGCUCGGUUUCGGCCGCGUCGCUCUAGGCUCCGACUGCCUCUGGAUUCUGCUUUUGCGCUCGCGUCGCCGACGGGGGAAGACGAGCCGCGUUGAAAUGGGGAGCGUGGCCGCAAUCGCUGCCGUUAUCGCUCUAUUCUUCCUCGCGAUCACUCGCUCAACUCUUAGCUCGGCACGAAAUGACGCGGGCGCUUCGGCGCGACGUUAAUCCGCACGGCCGGCACCGGACGCACUUCCCCUCCGGUCCGUCGUCGCGACCCGUUCCCGGCGUGCAGGUCGACGCGCGGUGUCCGUGGGCGGAAGGCGCACCCUAAACUCCCCGUUCCACCCGUCGUCGUUCCACCUUGCGGUGGGGCGGCGCGCGGGAGUCGGGGAGGCGUCUUCUGUCGGGCCCGCGAGCGUACUGCCCUCUUCUGCCGGGGACGGAGGAAACGAAAACGCGAUCCGUUAUACGUGGCGAGCCGGUCCUUUCCUGUUGGACGAUCCGCGCGGUGAGCGCGCGAGUGCUUCAAACACACUCGCGCACUCGCCUGUUAGCGCCUUUCGGGCGUGCGUGGUAAAGUCUGCGGGAAUUUCGGGACCGGCGCGGCCGCGCCGAAAUCCGCCCCGUGCCGGCGCGCGACGUCGUCUCGUCGCGUCGUCUUGUCCGCGGCCGGCAAAAACCGGUCGCGCGGCAGGGCACUGCCGGCACGGUAGCUCGGCGCUAAGCGCCGCACGUCACUUCGGGUCCGCGACGUGCAUCGGCAACCCACCCGACCCGUCUUGAAACACGGACCGAGGAGUCCUGGCCGUUCGCGAGUCGUAGGGGCCGGGACGAACCCCGAAGGCGUAGCGAAAGCGAGAGAGCGCGUGGAAGGGCACCGGACCGGGAGAGGUGUCGCGGCGAAAGCGGUUCCGGCGGGGAGUCCUCUUCCUUCCGCCGCCUAGCAGUGCCCGAUCCCGCCGGCGUUUGCCGUUUACGUCCCGUCCCGCUUCGCCCACUUUUCUCGCCCGUUCCGAUGUGUUCGGAUUUUCCCCUCUGAGGGGAGAUGAGUGAACGUUCGGGCGUCUGUGGUGGGAAGAGACUUACGGGCGGAGUGGUCGGCGGGGUGACGACGGUAUAUCCUCCCACCGCCCGUCGGUGAGAUCCCGCGGCUUGAACUAGUCACGAUUUAAUCGUCGAGUUUAGGCGCUGCGCGCGGGCGCAUCACCCCCGGGUCGGUAAUUUUUUUUCCGAGUACGACUCGGCCGACUCUGGUGUAGCGAGCGGCCAGGGACCCGAAAGAUGGCGAUCCACGCCCGGUCGGGAUGAAGCCAGAGGAAACUCUGGUGGAAGUCCGAAGCGCCUCUGACGUGCAAAUCGAUCGUCGGAACCGGGUGUAGGGGCGAAAGACCAAUCGAGCCGUCUAGUAGCUGGUUCCCUCCGAAGUUUCCCUCAGGAUAGCUGGCGUUCGAUGUUCGCAAUUCCAUCCGGUAAAGCGAACGAUUGGAGGCCCCGGGGCCGUUCACGGCCUCGACCUACUCUCGAACUCGGAACGGGUGGAACGGGUCGACUCUCCCGAAUACGGAGCCGUCCCUCGCUCUCUGCUUGCGCAGAGAAAGGAAUGUGAAUGCCAAGUGGGCCACUUUUGGUAAGCAGAACUGGCGCUGUGGGAUGAACCAAACGUCCGGCUAAGGUGCCUAACGCGACGCCCAUGAGAUCCCCGAAAGGGUGUCGGUCGAUAUAGACAGCAGGACGGUGGCCACGGAAGUCGGAAUUCGCUAAGGAGUGUGUAACAACUCACCUGCCGAAUCGACCGGCCCCGAAAAUGGAUGGCGCUGGAGCGACGGACCGAUGCCGGACCGUCGCGGCGAGGAGCGCGCUCGCGCGCCUGACCGAUGCCGCGAUGAGUAGGAGGGCGCCGCGGUGAGCACGGAAGCCUAGGGCGCGAGCCCGGGUGGAGCCGACCGCGGGUGCAGAUCUCGGUGGUAGUAGCAAAUAUUCGAACGAGACCUUCGAAGACCGAAGUGGAGAAGGGUUCCGUGCCAACGGCGGUCGAGCACGGGUCAGUCGGUCCUAAGACGCGGGCGAAAGUCUUCCCAAAGGAGCCGUAUCCGUAUCUUACGCACGCAAGCACGAUACGAGCCCAGAGAUGAACGUGCAAGCGUAAAGAUAUACGGUCGGCCUUACGUCGAAAGGGAAUCGGGUUAAUAUUCCCGAACUCGGAAUCGGAGAGUGCCCGGGGGUGGCGGCGCUGCUGGCAGCAAUGUCGGUGGCGUCUCGUCGCUUCUCGGGCGAAACCGCGGUGACGCAAGCGAGCCCGGAGACGUCGCCGAAAGCCCCGGGAAGAGUUCUCUCUUCUUCGUAAAGGACCGUGUCCGUGGAAUCGGCUCGUCCGGAGAUACGGAAAAGGUACCUGUAGAGCGCCGCGGCUCGGGCGGCGUCCGGUGCGCUUUCGGCGGCCCUGGAAAAUCCGGGUCUGGUAUUCGCAGCUCUCGAGUCGGUCCGUACCCACCAUCCGCAGCAGGUCUCCAAGGUGUACAGCCUCUCGUCGAUGGCAUCAAUGUAGGUAAGGGAAGUCGGCAAAAUGGAUCCGUACCUUCGGAAGAAGGAUUGGCUCCGAGGACCGGGUCGGUCGGGCCGUGCCCGCGCGAAGCGAGGAACCGGUACGGGGCUGUAGCGUUCGCUCCGUUCGCGCUUUGCGGCGUGGGUUCAGUGUCGUAGCGGUCCGUUAGCAACCCUGUUGCGAUGGUAUGUUCGGGUUGAGGACAGCAUGGGAGUACAGCGUGCAGUUCCAGCGGAGGCUCAGUGAAUGCGCCGGAGAGAGGGACACCCGAUCUCCGUGCGUCGGACGCUAGUCGGCCUGUUGGAGUCCUGUCGCGACUCUCUCAUCCACCUCCUCUUCUACGUUCCGCCUCGCGCAAGCUUCGCCACGGAUCUCCGCUCGCGGUGCUGCCCCGUCGCUACCGGCGCGUCGGUCGGCGAGCAAAACGGCUCCUCGCCCGGGUCUUCGUGGAUCGCCACGGCUUCCAGCCCCUCAACAAGUAACGUCGGUGCGUGCAGGGCCUAACCUACCUCCACUACACGUGGGUGUGGGCGGCUCGCGCGCCCGUCGUCCCGCCCGUUGAGUGCGCCAUUACGGCGUGGGGGCGUUCGUCCGGCAGCGAACGGUCGACUCGGAACUGGUACGGACCAGGGGAAUCCGACUGUCUAAUUAAAACAAAGCAUCGUGUGGCCGGUCGACCCGUACAGACACGAUGUGAUUUCUGCCCAGUGCUCUGAAUGUCAAAGUGAAGAAAUUCAACCAAGCGCGGGUAAACGGCGGGAGUAACUAUGACUCUCUUAAGGUAGCCAAAUGCCUCGUCAUCUAAUUAGUGACGCGCAUGAACGGAUCAACGAGAUUCCCACUGUCCCUACCUACUAUCUAGCGAAACCACAGCCAAGGGAACGGGCUUGGAACGAUCGGCGGGGAAAGAAGACCCUGUUGAGCUUGACUCUAGUCCGACUCUGUGAGGAGACACGGRAGGUGUAGCAUAUAGGCGGGAGA